CGAGGUGGAUAUUUAACCCUUUGCGUUCCCUACAGCCUCUCAAGCCCCGAUGGAUUUGGGCGUCCUAGUCGGCUCUAGGGCCGUGACUGGGCCGGAGACGGGUGGGGCGACCGGGAGAGCGUGCUUGUGGGGUGGGGUGGGGGGAGCGAAGACCCUCACCUCUGCGGGCUCGGUUCAGGAUUCCCAGAGUGAAAUUGAACCCUCAGGCUAGGUUAAAGUGUUGAGGCUGCUGUGACUCCAGUCGUGGAUGCGUGAC
RNAcentral lists this long non-coding RNA (256 nucleotides) under Rattus norvegicus (Norway rat). RNAcentral's name for it is "long non-coding RNA NONRATT007331". Lineage: Eukaryota; Metazoa; Chordata; Mammalia; Rodentia; Muridae. The record is from RNAcentral.